GAGUUUGAUCGUGGCUCAGAUUGAACGCUGGCGGCAUGCCUUACACAUGCAAGUCGAACGGCAGCAUGAUCUAGCUUGCUAGAUUGAUGGCGAGUGGCGAACGGGUGAGUAAUACAUCGGAACGUGCCCUGUAGUGGGGAGUAACUAGUCGAAAGAAUUAGCUAAUACCGCCAUACGACCUGAGGGUGGAAGUAGGGGGACCGGCAAGGCCUCAUGCUAUAGGAGCGGCCGAUGUCUGAUUAGCUAGUUGGUGGGGUAAGGCCCACCAAGGCGACGAUCAGUAGCUGGUCUGAGAGGACGAUCAGCCACACUGGGACUGAGACACGGCCCACGACUCCUACGGGAGGCAGCAGUGGGGAAUUUUGGACAAUGGGCGAAAGCCUGAUCCAGCAAUGCCGCGUGUGUG
RNAcentral lists this ribosomal RNA (406 nucleotides) under uncultured microorganism. Its description in RNAcentral is "bacterial SSU rRNA". It matches the Rfam family "Bacterial small subunit ribosomal RNA", at positions 9 to 407 of the family's 1533-position model. The record is from RNAcentral.